UGGGGAAUAUUGGACAAUGGGCGAAAGCCUGAUCCAGCCAUGCCGCGUGUGUGAAGAAGGUCUUCGGAUUGUAAAGCACUUUAAGUUGGGAGGAAGGGCAGUAAGCGAAUACCUUGCUGUUUUGACGUUACCGACAGAAUAAGCACCGGCUAACUCUGUGCCAGCAGCCGCGGUAAUACAGAGGGUGCAAGCGUUAAUCGGAAUUACUGGGCGUAAAGCGCGCGUAGGUGGUUCGUUAAGUUGAAUGUGAAAGCCCCGGGCUCAACCUGGGAACUGCAUCCAAAACUGGCGAGCUAGAGUAGGGCAGAGGGUGGUGGAAGUUCCUGUGUAGCGGUGAAAUGCGUAGUUAUAGGAAGGAACACCAGUGGCGAAGGCGACCACCUGGGCUCAUACUGACACUGAGGUGCGAAAGCGUGGGGAGCAAACAGG
This 429-nucleotide ribosomal RNA is filed under the name Pseudomonadota bacterium. RNAcentral describes it as "Proteobacteria bacterium partial 16S ribosomal RNA". It matches the Rfam family "Bacterial small subunit ribosomal RNA", at positions 355 to 776 of the family's 1533-position model. The record is from RNAcentral. Lineage: Bacteria; Pseudomonadati; Pseudomonadota.